AUUAUAUAUAUAUGUGUAUCUAGAAAAAGGGAAAUUGCUUUAUCAUGUUUAUAUCAAAUAUACAUAAUAUUAACUUUAAUAUAGUUUGCCUCCGGGUGCGGGAAUUUCUCGCUGCAUUGAAGACUUGUUGGUGACCUUCUGCUGUUUUACGUCAGCUUUACACAAAUAAUAUACUGUAAAUUUUGAAAUAUUUACAAUCUCUGGUGGAAAAACACUUUUCUGAUAUAUUAAUUUACUCAAACCUGGAUUAAUCCACCAUUUUCUACAUUUACAGUCAGGAAUAGGACAGUUGUUAACCAUUCGUUUU
RNAcentral lists this long non-coding RNA (307 nucleotides) under Mytilus galloprovincialis (Mediterranean mussel). The record is from RNAcentral. Lineage: Eukaryota; Metazoa; Mollusca; Bivalvia; Mytilida; Mytilidae.